UGCGUGAAGUUGGAAUCGCUAGUAAUCGCGGAUCAGCAUGCCGCGGUGAAUACGUUCCCGGGCCUUGUACACACCGCCCGUCACACCAUGAGAGUCGGGAACACCCGAAGUCCGUAGCCUAACCGCAAGGGGGGCGCGGCCGAAGGUGGGUUCGAUAAUUGGGGUGAAGUCGUAACAAGGUACC
This 184-nucleotide ribosomal RNA is filed under the name uncultured bacterium. RNAcentral's name for it is "partial 16S ribosomal RNA". It matches the Rfam family "Bacterial small subunit ribosomal RNA", at positions 1317 to 1500 of the family's 1533-position model. The record is from RNAcentral.